Molecule: ribosomal RNA, 242 nt
Filed under: uncultured eukaryote
Lineage: Eukaryota
Description: partial 18S ribosomal RNA
Rfam family: Eukaryotic small subunit ribosomal RNA
Source: RNAcentral
CGUAGUUGGAUUUCUGACUUCAAACACCUGACCCUCCCUCGCUAGAGGUGUGUGUGCCGGAGUGUUUGUAUCAUCCUUUCAGUGAUCGGUUCUACCCUUAACCGGGUCGGAACUGUUAACUGGAUCUUUUACUUUGAAGAAAUUGGAGUGUUUAAAGCAGGCUUACGCCAGAACAUAUUAGCAUGGAAUAAUAAUUUAGGACUUUUGUUCUAUUUUGUUGGUUUCUAGGACGAAAGUAAUGA